CAGAGCUUCCCAUUCUCCCCUCAAACAGCCGCAAAAUGUUCUUCGAGCAAUCAAUCUUCUCUCAAAGGCGGGAAAUCUAGGCGGGAUGUUUAGAGAAAAGAGAGGAGUCCUAAUUAGGAUUCUUCGUAACCCAAACGAGAUCGAAGGCAAUAUAAAAGGGAUACUGCUCCUUUGAUCAAUUGACUACUCUCUCGUCUCCAUAAGGUGUUCUUCGGUCAAUUUUUUAGUGUUCAAUUUGCAAGAAGAUAAUGACUACCGGGAAGCUAUCCAAGUUGGAGCACUUUGAAACAGAUGAAAAGGCGAAGAGAUGAAGAUAGUGUCAAUCAAUGCAGACAAUUUGGAACAUGAGAAAUUUGAUGAAGAUGAUGAAUUUUGAUUCGCAAAGUGGUUUUGAGCAAUAAUUAGUUUAGGUUUUAGCUAGUCUUGGUAAACUAAUUUUUUUUAUUAACUAUUAUUAUUUUUGGGUAGAAUAUUUGUAGACUUUAUUUGGGUUAUGAUUUAGUACGAAGAUAUUA
This is a long non-coding RNA of Rosa rugosa (rugosa rose), 515 nucleotides long. RefSeq lists it as uncharacterized. The transcript is spliced from 4 exons. Lineage: Eukaryota; Viridiplantae; Streptophyta; Magnoliopsida; Rosales; Rosaceae. The record is from RefSeq and is a predicted model, not a curated record.